Molecule: ribosomal RNA, 426 nt
Filed under: uncultured eukaryote
Lineage: Eukaryota
Description: bacterial SSU rRNA
Rfam family: Eukaryotic small subunit ribosomal RNA
Source: RNAcentral
CAAUAGCGUAUAUUAAUGUUGUUGCAGUUAAAAAGCUCGUAGUUGGAUUUCUGUCGGGAGCGUCCGGUCCGGCCCUCACGGGCUGCGUACUGGUGACGUCUCUUGACAUCCUUGCGAAGAACGCGUUUGGCAUUAAGUUGUUGGGCGUCGGGACUCGCAUCGUUUACUGUGAAAAAUUAGAGUGUUUAAAGCAGGCAAUUGCUGUGAAUACAUUAGCAUGGAAUAAUAAGAUAGGACUUUGGUGCUAUUUUGUUGGUUUGCACACCGAGGUAAUGAUUAACAGGGACAGUUGGGGGUAUUCGUAUUUCGUUGUCAGAGGUGAAAUUCUUGGAUUUAUGAAAGACGAACUACUGCGAAAGCAUUUACCAAGGAUGUUUUCAUUAAUCAAGAACGAAAGUUAGGGGAUCAAAGACGAUCAGAUACCGU